Molecule: ribosomal RNA, 2881 nt
Filed under: Burkholderia multivorans CGD1
Lineage: Bacteria; Pseudomonadati; Pseudomonadota; Betaproteobacteria; Burkholderiales; Burkholderiaceae
Description: bacterial LSU rRNA
Rfam family: Bacterial large subunit ribosomal RNA
Source: RNAcentral
GGUCAAGCGAACAAGUGCAUGUGGUGGAUGCCUUGGCGAUCACAGGCGAUGAAGGACGCGGUAGCCUGCGAAAAGCCCCGGGGAGCUGGCAAACAAGCUUUGAUCCGGGGAUGUCCGAAUGGGGAAACCCACUCCUUUUGGAGUAUCCAUAGCUGAAUACAUAGGCUAUGUGAAGCGAACGCGGUGAACUGAAACAUCUAAGUAACCGCAGGAAAAGAAAUCAACCGAGAUUCCCAAAGUAGUGGCGAGCGAAAUGGGAUGAGCCUUGUACUCUUUAUUUGUAUUGUUAGCCGAACGCUCUGGAAAGUGCGGCCAUAGCAGGUGAUAGCCCUGUAGGCGAAAACAGUAUGAAAGAACUAGGUGUACGACAAGUAGGGCGGGACACGUGAAAUCCUGUCUGAAGAUGGGGGGACCAUCCUCCAAGGCUAAAUACUCGUGAUCGACCGAUAGUGAACCAGUACCGUGAGGGAAAGGCGAAAAGAACCCCGGGAGGGGAGUGAAAUAGAUCCUGAAACCGCAUGCAUACAAACAGUCGGAGCCUCGUAAGGGGUGACGGCGUACCUUUUGUAUAAUGGGUCAGCGACUUACGUUCAGUAGCAAGCUUAACCGUAUAGGGCAGGCGUAGCGAAAGCGAGUCCGAAUAGGGCGUUCAGUUGCUGGGCGUAGACCCGAAACCAGGUGAUCUAUCCAUGGCCAGGAUGAAGGUGCGGUAACACGUACUGGAGGUCCGAACCCACUAACGUUGAAAAGUUAGGGGAUGAGCUGUGGAUAGGGGUGAAAGGCUAAACAAACCUGGAAAUAGCUGGUUCUCUCCGAAAACUAUUUAGGUAGUGCCUCGUGUCUCACCUUCGGGGGUAGAGCACUGUCAUGGUUGGGGGGUCUAUUGCAGAUUACCCCGCCAUAGCAAACUCCGAAUACCGAAGAGUGCAAUCACGGGAGACAGACAUCGGGUGCUAACGUCCGGUGUCAAGAGGGAAACAACCCAGACCGCCAGCUAAGGUCCCCAAAUAUGGCUAAGUGGGAAACGAAGUGGGAAGGCUAAAACAGUCAGGAGGUUGGCUUAGAAGCAGCCACCCUUUAAAGAAAGCGUAAUAGCUCACUGAUCGAGUCGUCCUGCGCGGAAGAUGUAACGGGGCUAAGCCAUAUACCGAAGCUGCGGAUGCGUGCUUGCACGCAUGGUAGGAGAGCGUUCCGUAAGCCUGCGAAGGUGCCUUGUAAAGGGUGCUGGAGGUAUCGGAAGUGCGAAUGCUGACAUGAGUAGCGAUAAAGGGGGUGAAAGGCCCCCUCGCCGUAAGCCCAAGGUUUCCUACGCAACGUUCAUCGGCGUAGGGUGAGUCGGCCCCUAAGGCGAGGCAGAAAUGCGUAGCUGAUGGGAAGCAGGUCAAUAUUCCUGCACCGUCGUUAGAUGCGAUGGGGGGACGGAUCGCGGAAGGUUGUCCGGGUGUUGGACGUCCCGGUCGCUGCAUUGGAGAAGGCGCUUAGGCAAAUCCGGGCGCAGGAUUCAAGGGUGUGGCGCGAGCGACUUCGGUCGCGAAGCAAUUGGAAGUGGUUCCAAGAAAAGCCUCUAAGCUUCAGUCUAACGAUGACCGUACCGCAAACCGACACAGGUGGGCGAGAUGAGUAUUCUAAGGCGCUUGAGAGAACUCGGGAGAAGGAACUCGGCAAAUUGGUACCGUAACUUCGGGAUAAGGUACGCCCUUGUAGCUUGACCAGCCUGCGCUGGAAGGGUGAAGGGGUUGCAAUAAACUGGUGGCUGCGACUGUUUAAUAAAAACACAGCACUCUGCAAACACGAAAGUGGACGUAUAGGGUGUGACGCCUGCCCGGUGCCGGAAGAUUAAAUGAUGGGGUGCAAGCUCUUGAUUGAAGUCCCGGUAAACGGCGGCCGUAACUAUAACGGUCCUAAGGUAGCGAAAUUCCUUGUCGGGUAAGUUCCGACCUGCACGAAUGGCGUAACGAUGGCCACACUGUCUCCUCCCGAGACUCAGCGAAGUUGAAGUGUUUGUGAUGAUGCAAUCUACCCGCGGCUAGACGGAAAGACCCCAUGAACCUUUACUGUAGCUUUGCAUUGGACUUUGAACCGAUCUGUGUAGGAUAGGUGGGAGGCUAUGAAACCGGAACGCUAGUUUCGGUGGAGCCGUCCUUGAAAUACCACCCUGGUUUGUUUGAGGUUCUAACCUUGGUCCGUGAUCCGGAUCGGGGACAGUGCAUGGUAGGCAGUUUGACUGGGGCGGUCUCCUCCCAAAGGGUAACGGAGGAGUACGAAGGUACGCUAGGUACGGUCGGAAAUCGUGCUGAUAGUGCAAUGGCAUAAGCGUGCUUAACUGCGAGACCGACAAGUCGAGCAGGUGCGAAAGCAGGUCAUAGUGAUCCGGUGGUUCUGUAUGGAAGGGCCAUCGCUCAACGGAUAAAAGGUACUCUGGGGAUAACAGGCUGAUACCGCCCAAGAGUUCAUAUCGACGGCGGUGUUUGGCACCUCGAUGUCGGCUCAUCUCAUCCUGGGGCUGUAGCCGGUCCCAAGGGUAUGGCUGUUCGCCAUUUAAAGAGGUACGUGAGCUGGGUUUAAAACGUCGUGAGACAGUUUGGUCCCUAUCUGCCGUGGGCGUUGGAUAUUUGAAGGGGGCUGCUCCUAGUACGAGAGGACCGGAGUGGACGAACCUCUGGUGUACCGGUUGUGACGCCAGUCGCAUCGCCGGGUAGCUAUGUUCGGAAGAGAUAACCGCUGAAAGCAUCUAAGCGGGAAACUCGCCUUAAGAUGAGAUAUCCCUGGAGGCUUGACCUCCUUGAAGGGUCGUUCGAGACCAGGACGUUGAUAGGUCGGGUGUGUAAGCGCAGUAAUGCGUUCAGCUAACCGAUACUAAUUGCCCGUAAGGCUUGAUCCU